UGGAUAUCUGCCUUUUGGUUCGGAAUAACCCCGGGAAACUGGGGCUAAUACCGGAUGGUUCCUUCGGGAUAAAGAUUUAUCGCCAAAAGAUGAGUCCGCGUCCGAUUAGCUAGUUGGUGAGGUAAUGGCUCACCAAGGCGACGAUCGGUAGCUGGUCUGAGAGGACGAUCAGCCACACUGGGACUGAGACACGGCCCAGACUCCUACGGGAGGCAG
RNAcentral lists this ribosomal RNA (216 nucleotides) under uncultured bacterium. Its description in RNAcentral is "partial 16S ribosomal RNA". It matches the Rfam family "Bacterial small subunit ribosomal RNA", at positions 118 to 351 of the family's 1533-position model. The record is from RNAcentral.